CGCGGGAGGAGCUGCGAGGCGCCUGUGGACCCUCUCGGCCCUUUGAACCUCGCCUCCGUGGGCGGAGCGGCCCACCCGGAUGGAGUCUCAGCUGAAACAACCUGAGGCUGCAACUCAGAGGACAGCUUUCUGUCCCCUCCGGCAGAUGCCUCGGCGUAGGCCAAAACAAUGGAGAGAAAGGGGUAGUCGGGCAGAACGACUUGAUGCCCAGGUGUGAUGGCGUGUUGGACCUGAAAGGCCCUUGAGAGAGAGUACUCUAAAACAACGAAAAGCUUUAAGGAAAAGAUCUAAAAGAAGCACACGAAAACACAAUAGUACCAAUAGGCUGACUGGGCACAGGCCCUUACCUACUGCUUCCACCGGGGUCCGAGCCAGUGCUCCCAGCUCAUGAUGUGCACCCAGAUGCUGCCCAGGGCUUCAUGGUCACAGCCAUCUUGGUGGGUCUGGCAGUAUCCGCUCUGAAGUCUAGACCCUGAGCCCAUAGCCUGACCUUGAAAGCUCCCUGGAGAUCAUUCCCAGCCCCAGGAGCAACCACCGAUCCUGCCACUGAACUUAUUCCCUCAUCUCCCCUGACAAGCCCCUGUGCCAGUCGGGGAGGAAAUGGCCAAUUGAGUAACUGACAGAUUUUUUUAAGGAAUCUGUGGUUCAGUUCCAUUUGGGUGUUGCAUACAUCUAUGUCUGCUGCACUUUAUCCACGCUCUACUUAAUAAACUCUAAACCAUUUGUAGUUACAUGAAUUCAUUCUCGGGCUCACCCUCAAGGUUUUUGGUCUUUGGUUUUAAGAGAAUCAAACUAAAGGGGCCCUUAGAAAUCAUAUGAUCUCUUGAUUCACAAACUUUCCAUCUGCUGGAAAAUAGAUUCCCUAGAGUGAUAUUGGGGGAGGUUGUUGAGGGGGUGCUUUCCAACAAUUUUCCAACUUGUAGUAGAAGAGCCUGCCUUCAGAUGAGGCUUGCUGUGGUCUUGUCAGAGGC
Molecule: long non-coding RNA, 971 nt
Organism: Molossus molossus (Pallas's mastiff bat)
Lineage: Eukaryota; Metazoa; Chordata; Mammalia; Chiroptera; Molossidae
Exons: 3
Source: RefSeq, a predicted model, not a curated record